CUUCGGCAGGGGUUCGGCCCAGAUCACGUUUCUUUUCCCGGUGCAGCUGAUGUUGAAGACGGAGUUGGGCUGCAGGAUGAACUCCUCCUCAUUGGACACGAUGGUUGGUGGCGACAGUCCGGAGGUAACUGAAAGAGAGGUCGGACUUGUUGAUGCAGCAGACGGGUGGAGAUCUCCCCGGUUCCAUCAGCGCAUCAGGAAACUGGAGGUGAUGAUGUAUAGAUAAAAACAGAAAGAACAGGGUCCAUGUUAAUGAGCACCAUCAUAAAUCACACUGUGGAUUUCUUCUCAACGUCUGGCGGACACAUC
Acanthopagrus latus (yellowfin seabream) is the source of this 309-nucleotide long non-coding RNA. RefSeq lists it as uncharacterized. The transcript has 3 exons. Lineage: Eukaryota; Metazoa; Chordata; Actinopteri; Spariformes; Sparidae. The record is from RefSeq and is a predicted model, not a curated record.